Long non-coding RNA from Olea europaea var. sylvestris, 362 nucleotides. RefSeq lists it as uncharacterized. The transcript has 2 exons. Lineage: Eukaryota; Viridiplantae; Streptophyta; Magnoliopsida; Lamiales; Oleaceae. The record is from RefSeq and is a predicted model, not a curated record.
GGGGGAGAAAAACCGAAUGGAGAAACAAAGAACAAAACCACGGAAGAUAAAGGAAGAAAAUGGAAGAGAAAAAGAAAAAGAAGGAAGGGAUAGGUUCCAAUUUUACAAGGCUAGGUUCUCAAUUUCUCAUUUUCUCCCCUUAAUUUAGAGAGGUUAGAUCGGGUCGUGUCGAAACGUGGUGAUUCGAUUAAGUGGUUGUGCCCCGUCUUGCUGGACAAAAAUCUAGAAAUUUAGCACGUAAUUUUAUUUCUUUUAAGUUUAUUGCAAUAGACAUUUAUUUAUAACCGAAUUCUCAUACAUGUUUGUUUGCACAUGAAUAUGUGUAGAUCGCACCUUAAAUAAAGUUUGAACGUUAUUUUUUU